RNAcentral lists this ribosomal RNA (266 nucleotides) under Pardosa nigra. Its description in RNAcentral is "12S Ribosomal RNA". Lineage: Eukaryota; Metazoa; Arthropoda; Arachnida; Araneae; Lycosidae. The record is from RNAcentral.
GUUUUCUAAUCGACAAUCCACGUUAAUUUUAACUUUAAUUAUAAAUUUAUAUACCGCCAUCUAAAAAACUAAUUUUAUAAUAAUAUUUUUAAUAAAAAAUAAAAAGUUAGGUCAAGGUGUAAUCUAUAUUAAAGUAAAUAAUGGGUUACAUUAAAAAUAAUUUAAGGAUUAUUAUAUUAAAAUAUUUUAUAAAAAAGAAUUUAAAAGUAAUAAAAUAAUAAUAUUUUAUUAUGAUUUAGAUAAUAAAUGUGCACACAUCGCCCGUC